GAUGAACGCUGGCGGCGUGCUUAACACAUGCAAGUCGAGCGGACGGACGAGAGUUUUUUUCCUUGCCCGAUAGCGGCGGGCGGGCGAGUCACACGUGGAUACCCUACCUAUCAUUCUGGUAUAACUACGCGAAACCGGAUCUAACUCCUGAUGAUAUUUUGAACCUCAUGGUUCAAAAGUUAAACACGGUGUUUCGGUCAGUAAUAGCUGGAUCCGGGCUGCAUUAGAUAGUUGGUAGGGUCACGGCUUACCAAGGCGACGAGGCGUGACCGAGGUGAGAGGGUGGUAGGCCACACUGGAAGUGAGACACGGCCCAGACGCCUACGGGAGGCAGCAGUAGGGAAUCGUAGGCAGUGGGCGGGAGCCUUGCGGAACAAAGCCGAGUGAGUGGUGGCAGUCCUGGGAUCGUGAUGCUCUAUUACUGGGGGAGAACGUAUGUGUACGUAACUGUGGAGUUCUUGACGGUACCGAAUCAAAAAGCACCGGCUAACUACGUG
This 497-nucleotide ribosomal RNA is filed under the name uncultured bacterium. RNAcentral describes it as "partial 16S ribosomal RNA". It matches the Rfam family "Bacterial small subunit ribosomal RNA", at positions 28 to 507 of the family's 1533-position model. The record is from RNAcentral.